RNAcentral lists this ribosomal RNA (1112 nucleotides) under Klebsiella pneumoniae. RNAcentral's name for it is "bacterial SSU rRNA". It matches the Rfam family "Bacterial small subunit ribosomal RNA", at positions 1 to 1104 of the family's 1533-position model. The record is from RNAcentral. Lineage: Bacteria; Pseudomonadati; Pseudomonadota; Gammaproteobacteria; Enterobacterales; Enterobacteriaceae.
AAAUUGAAGAGUUUGAUCAUGGCUCAGAUUGAACGCUGGCGGCAGGCCUAACACAUGCAAGUCGAGCGGUAGCACAGAGAGCUUGCUCUCGGGUGACGAGCGGCGGACGGGUGAGUAAUGUCUGGGAAACUGCCUGAUGGAGGGGGGUAACUACUGGAAACGGUAGCUAAUACCGCAUAACGUCGCAAGACCAAAGUGGGGGACCUUCGGGCCUCAUGCCAUCAGAUGUGCCCAGAUGGGAUUAGCUAGUAGGUGGGGUAACGGCUCACCUAGGCGACGAUCCCUAGCUGGUCUGAGAGGAUGACCAGCCACACUGGAACUGAGACACGGUCCAGACUCCUACGGGAGGCAGCAGUGGGGAAUAUUGCACAAUGGGCGCAAGCCUGAUGCAGCCAUGCCGCGUGUGUGAAGAAGGCCUUCGGGUUGUAAAGCACUUUCAGCGGGGAGGAAGGCGCCAAGGUUAAUAACCUUGGCGAUUGACGUUACCCGCAGAAGAAGCACCGGCUAACUCCGUGCCAGCAGCCGCGGUAAUACGGAGGGUGCAAGCGUUAAUCGGAAUUACUGGGCGUAAAGCGCACGCAGGCGGUCUGUCAAGUCGGAUGUGAAAUCCCCGGGCUCAACCUGGGAACUGCAUUCGAAACUGGCAGGCUAGAGUCUUGUAGAGGGGGGUAGAAUUCCAGGUGUAGCGGUGAAAUGCGUAGAGAUCUGGAGGAAUACCGGUGGCGAAGGCGGCCCCCUGGACAAAGACUGACGCUCAGGUGCGAAAGCGUGGGGAGCAAACAGGAUUAGAUACCCUGGUAGUCCACGCCGUAAACGAUGUCGAUUUGGAGGUUGUGCCCUUGAGGCGUGGCUUCCGGAGCUAACGCGUUAAAUCGACCGCCUGGGGAGUACGGCCGCAAGGUUAAAACUCAAAUGAAUUGACGGGGGCCCGCACAAGCGGUGGAGCAUGUGGUUUAAUUCGAUGCAACGCGAAGAACCUUACCUGGUCUUGACAUCCACAGAACUUUCCAGAGAUGGAUUGGUGCCUUCGGGAACUGUGAGACAGGUGCUGCAUGGCUGUCGUCAGCUCGUGUUGUGAAAUGUUGGGUUAAGUCCCGCAACGAGCGCAACCC